This 468-nucleotide ribosomal RNA is filed under the name uncultured bacterium. Its description in RNAcentral is "partial 16S ribosomal RNA". It matches the Rfam family "Bacterial small subunit ribosomal RNA", at positions 28 to 507 of the family's 1533-position model. The record is from RNAcentral.
GACGAACGCUGGCGGCGUGCUUAACACAUGCAAGUCGAACGGAAAGGCCCUGCUUUUGUGGGGUGCUCGAGUGGCGAACGGGUGAGUAACACGUGAGUAACCUGCCCUUGACUUUGGGAUAACUUCAGGAAACUGGGGCUAAUACCGGAUAGGAGCUCCUGCUGCAUGGUGGGGGUUGGAAAGUUUCGGCGGUUGGGGAUGGACUCGCGGCUUAUCAGCUUGUUGGUGGGGUAGUGGCUUACCAAGGCUUUGACGGGUAGCCCGCCUGAGAGGGUGACCGGCCACAUUGGGACUGAGGUACGGCCCAGACUCCUACGGGAGGCAGCAGUGGGGAAUAUUGCACAAUGGGCGGAAGCCUGAUGCAGCAACGCCGCGUGCGGGAUGACGGCCUUCGGGUUGUAAACCGCUUUCGCCUGUGACGAAGCGUGAGUGACGGUAAUGGGUAAAGAAGCACCGGCUAACUACGUG